This 740-nucleotide ribosomal RNA is filed under the name Lentinus brumalis. Its description in RNAcentral is "partial large subunit ribosomal RNA". It matches the Rfam family "Eukaryotic large subunit ribosomal RNA", at positions 142 to 869 of the family's 3401-position model. The record is from RNAcentral. Lineage: Eukaryota; Fungi; Basidiomycota; Agaricomycetes; Polyporales; Polyporaceae.
GUUGUAGUCUGGAGAAGUGCUUUCCGCGCUGGACCGUGUAUAAGUCUCUUGGAACAGAGCGUCAUAGAGGGUGAGAAUCCCGUCUUUGACACGGACUACCAGUGCUUUGUGAUGCGCUCUCAAAGAGUCGAGUUGUUUGGGAAUGCAGCUCAAAAUGGGUGGUGAAUUCCAUCUAAAGCUAAAUAUUGGCGAGAGACCGAUAGCGAACAAGUACCGUGAGGGAAAGAUGAAAAGCACUUUGGAAAGAGAGUUAAACAGUACGUGAAAUUGCUGAAAGGGAAACGCUUGAAGUCAGUCGCGUUUGCCGGAACUCAGCCUUCCUUUUGGUUGGUGCACUUUCCGGUAGACGGGCCAGCAUCGAUUUCGACCGUCGGAUAAGGGCUGGGGAAAUGUGGCACCUUUCGGGGUGUGUUAUAGUCCUCAGUCGCAUACGUCGGUUGGGAUCGAGGAUCGCAGCGCGCCGCAAGGCAGGGGUUCGCCCACUUUCGCGCUUAGGAUGCUGGCAUAAUGGCUUUAAACGACCCGUCUUGAAACACGGACCAAGGAGUCUAACAAACCUGCGAGUGUUUGGGUGGAAAACCCGAGCGCGUAAUGAAAGUGAAAGUUGAGACCUCUGUCGUGGAGGGCAUCGACGCCCGGACCUGAAGUYYUCUGACGGUUCCGCGGUAGAGCAUGUUUGUUGGGACCCGAAAGAUGGUGAACUAUGCCUGAAUAGGGUGAAGCCAGAGGAAACUCUGGUG